UCCGAUUCUCCUUCCUUCAAUUCUUCAUUUUCCCUUUCAUUCAAGCUUUUUUAUUUUUCUAUAUUUUAACAACAAGCAAAACUGAGAAUACAAAAUCUAAAGGGAAGAACCAAAAAACCAGAAAAAAAAAGCAAAAACAGAGACCCGGAACUCAUACCUGGCUCCGGCCUGGUAUGUUCGUUGAAUCCGACCAACAACACAACAGCUAACGGGACCACAAACAAAUUUUAUGGCAAGAUUAAUGUAUUCGAG
RNAcentral lists this long non-coding RNA (252 nucleotides) under Linum usitatissimum (flax). RNAcentral's name for it is "long non-coding RNA (LUSI_LNC002363)". The record is from RNAcentral. Lineage: Eukaryota; Viridiplantae; Streptophyta; Magnoliopsida; Malpighiales; Linaceae.